UAAUGGCUAACGUGGGCGGUGCCUCGGGUAAUCCUAAUUGCCGAAUAUAGUUAAUACAGAACUUAACAAUUAAGCCAAAGAACAGUCACAAACUAAGACUUAAACAAAAAACAAGUCCUAAGAAAACCUUUAAUCUUCUCUUAAAAACCUUUCCUCUUUAUUGCAUUGGAGAAAACUCUCUAAGAAACUAGCUUCCCUUCGUUGGUACCUUUUCACUUUUGUCCAGCCCCUCAGUCCACUGAGCACCUUGGAGAUUAACCACCAGCACUUUCUCCGACCUCUACCUAUCCUCUUUGAAAUCCCCUCCUAUCUCUAAUGAUGAGAUGCUCCACUUCCGCUGGGACUUCUUCUAUCCAGUAAAUCGAGGAAUCAUAUCGGCGUCCUCUCGUUUCCAACCCAUGCGCCAUUUCGUUCGCCAUCCGAGAUACAUGCCGAAAAGAUAAGCUUCUAAAUUUGGGGAUUCUAUCUUUUAUUUCUUUGAUUAUGUUUCCAAUUACUGAUCUAUCAUUUUCUACAGAUCUCAAUUUCUUAAUCACCGUUAACGCGUCCCCUUCCACACAUACUUCUCUAAAACCCAAAUCUUCUGUGAAGAUGACUGCCUAUAGGCACGCCCGUGCUUCUGCAAUGGUCGGAUCUCAAAUGUUCUCCCAUGGUAACUAUUGUUUCCAACUUUGAUCAUGUUUGUGCUCGAGGGUGCCACUCCUACCUCCUGCAGAACUGGUUUUGUGAAUGCGCAAUCUCGACACGGAUGGGCUACUGUCUCUUCCUCUUCUUUACAGAUUGGGCAAAGUGCAUCUUCCCUAAGCCUUCGAGACUUUAGGUUACCUAGAGAAGGCAUACAUAUAUUCAUUAGUUAUUUUCCCUAGAUUUAUUCGAAUCUUGCUGGGAAUUUUGAGGCUCCAACUUUUUGUAAAGUAGCUUGUAUCUUCAGAUUGGAAUGUGUUGUUGUUUCUCAACAAAUUUUGGUCCUCUGUAAUGAGCCAUUUGUACUUGCUCUUUGCUGUAUAAACUCUAAAACUGUCACCUCUCAAUAUUAUCUCAUUUGUCUACAUACUGCUCACCAGCCGGAUGGAUAAUAUUCUCUCAGCUUGCUCAUCACUGAACAGCCUGUUGAUGACCUUCUUUUCCCAGGACUCGGCAACCACACAUCAUUCCAUAUGUUCAUCGAUUCACCAUUCCCAAUCUUCCACCUUGUGCCUUUCUCCAAUAGAUUACAUGCACCCCAAAUACUAUGCUAGGUAAAUGAAGGGUAAGACCUUAAACUUACAAUCAUGAAAUCUCCCCGAGGAUAAAAUUUUGCUUUUAUUACUCGUGUAAGUAAACUGUUGGGGUUAAUGAUUAGCUUCCAGCCUUGUUUCGCCAACAGGGCUAUAUUAAAAUUUGAUAACUCCCUAAACCCAAUCGCCCCUCGCGCUUUUGGGAUACACAUAGUAUCCCAACUACAUCAAUGUAUGCCUUUGUUAGAUUAUAAAUUACGUCACCAAAAUCAACACAUCAAA
Gossypium arboreum is the source of this 1499-nucleotide RNA transcript. RefSeq lists it as uncharacterized. Lineage: Eukaryota; Viridiplantae; Streptophyta; Magnoliopsida; Malvales; Malvaceae. The transcript is spliced from 3 exons. The record is from RefSeq and is a predicted model, not a curated record.